This 260-nucleotide ribosomal RNA is filed under the name uncultured bacterium. RNAcentral's name for it is "partial small subunit ribosomal RNA". It matches the Rfam family "Bacterial small subunit ribosomal RNA", at positions 26 to 285 of the family's 1533-position model. The record is from RNAcentral.
AGGACGAACGCUGGCGGCGUGCUUAACACAUGCAAGUCGAGCGAGGCCCUUCCUUCGGGAAGGUGCCCUAGCGGCGAACGGGUGAGUAACACGUGGGCAAUCUGCCCCUAGCACUGGGAUAACUCCGGGAAACCGGGGCUAAUACCGGAUAUGACCUCUGAGGGCAUCCUCUGGAGGUGGAAAGGAUCCUGGCUAGGGAUGAGCCCGCGGCCUAUCAGCUUGGUUGGUGGGGUAAUAGCCUACCAAGGCGACGACGGGUA